GGCGAAGCCUGACGCAGCGACGCCGCGUGGAGGAUGAAGGCCUUCGGGUCGUAAACUCCUGUCAAGAGGGAAGAACCGUAUGCGGAAUAAUACGCCGCAUGCCUGACGGUACCUCUAGAGGAAGCACCGGCUAACUCCGUGCCAGCAGCCGCGGUAAUACGGAGGGUGCAAGCGUUAAUCGGAAUCACUGGGCGUAAAGCGCGCGUAGGCGGCUUGGUAAGUCAGGUGUGAAAGCCCCCGGCCCAACCGGGGAAUUGCACUUGAUACUGCUAGGCUAGAGUUCAGGAGAGGGUGGCGGAAUUCCAGGUGUAGGAGUGAAAUCCGUAGAUAUCUGGAGGAACACCGGUGGCGAAGGCGGCCACCUGGACUGACACUGACGCUGAGGUGCGAAAGCGUGGGUAGCAAACAGGAUUAGAUACCCUGGUAGUCCACGCCGUAAACGAUGGAUACUAGGUGUCGGGGACUUGAUCCUCGGUGCCGUAGCUAACGCGUUAAGUAUCCCGCCUGGGGAGUACGGUCGCAAGGCUGAAACUCAAAGAAUUGGGACGGG
This 550-nucleotide ribosomal RNA is filed under the name Oleidesulfovibrio alaskensis. RNAcentral describes it as "bacterial SSU rRNA". It matches the Rfam family "Bacterial small subunit ribosomal RNA", at positions 374 to 918 of the family's 1533-position model. RNAcentral also lists the same sequence under 1 other name. The record is from RNAcentral. Lineage: Bacteria; Pseudomonadati; Thermodesulfobacteriota; Desulfovibrionia; Desulfovibrionales; Desulfovibrionaceae.